AAUCAGGGGGAUAGCCCGAAGAAAUUCGGAUUAACACCGCAUAAAAACACAGUACAGCAUUGUACAAUGUUCAAAUAUUUAUAGGAUUAAGAUGGGCAUGCGUGACAUUAGUUAGUUGGCGGGGUAACGGCCCACCAAGACCACGAUGUCUAGGGGAUCUGAGAGGAUGACCCCCCACACUGGUACUGAGACACGGACCAGACUCCUACGGGAGGCAGCAGUAAGGAAUAUUGGUCAAUGGGGGCAACCCUGAACCAGCCAUGCCGCGUGCAGGAAGACAGCCCUCUGGGUCGUAAACUGCUUUUAUUCGGGAAUAAACCUCAGUACGUGUACUGAGCUGAAUGUACCGAAGGAAUAAGGAUCGGCUAACUCCGUGCCAGCAGCCGCGGUAAUACGGAGGAUCCAAGCGUUAUCCGGAUUUAUUGGGUUUAAAGGGUGCGUAGGCGGCUUUUUAAGUCAGGGGUGAAAGACGUUAGCUCAACUAACGCAGUGCCCUUGAUACUGAAGAGCUUGAAUGGACUAGAGGUAGGCGGAAUGUGACAAGUAGCGGUGAAAUGCAUAGAUAUGUCACAGAACACCGAUUGCGAAGGCAGCUUACUAUGGUUUAAUUGACGCUGAGGCACGAAAGCGUGGGGAUCAAAC
RNAcentral lists this ribosomal RNA (642 nucleotides) under uncultured bacterium. RNAcentral's name for it is "bacterial SSU rRNA". It matches the Rfam family "Bacterial small subunit ribosomal RNA", at positions 133 to 773 of the family's 1533-position model. The record is from RNAcentral.